ACUACAGGAUUCCCCAGUACGGCGAGUGAAGCGGGAGAAGCCCAUGCUGCCAACCGCUCCGGCGGGUUGUGCCAGGCGUGCCUGGUGAGGUCCCGGGGAGAAGUCCUUUGGAACAAGGUAUCAGAGAGGGUGACAAUCCCGUCUGUGCCUCGGGGUCCUCGCGUGAAGGCCGUGCUAAUGGAGUCGAGUUGCUUGGGAUUGCAG
Molecule: ribosomal RNA, 204 nt
Filed under: Pseudochattonella verruculosa
Lineage: Eukaryota; Dictyochophyceae; Florenciellales
Description: partial large subunit ribosomal RNA
Rfam family: Eukaryotic large subunit ribosomal RNA
Source: RNAcentral